Molecule: ribosomal RNA, 408 nt
Filed under: Vibrio sp. con10
Lineage: Bacteria; Pseudomonadati; Pseudomonadota; Gammaproteobacteria; Vibrionales; Vibrionaceae
Description: bacterial SSU rRNA
Rfam family: Bacterial small subunit ribosomal RNA
Source: RNAcentral
UUCCGGGAAACGAGUUAUCUGAACCUUCGGGGUAACGAUAACGGCGUCGAGCGGCGGACGGGUGAGUAAUGCCUGGGAAAUUGCCCUGAUGUGGGGGAUAACUAUUGGAAACGAUAGCUAAUACCGCAUAACGUCUACGGACCAAAGAGGGGGACCUUCGGGCCUCUCGCUUCAGGAUAUGCCCAGGUGGGAUUAGCUAGUUGGUGAGGUAAUGGCUCACCAAGGCGACGAUCCCUAGCUGGUCUGAGAGGAUGAUCAGCCACACUGGAACUGAGACACGGUCCAGACUCCUACGGGAGGCAGCAGUGGGGAAUAUUGCACAAUGGGCGCAAGCCUGAUGCAGCCAUGCCGCGUGUAUGAAGAAGGCCUUCGGGUUGUAAAGUACUUUCAGUCGUGAGGAAGGCAUUA